This 546-nucleotide ribosomal RNA is filed under the name uncultured bacterium. Its description in RNAcentral is "bacterial SSU rRNA". It matches the Rfam family "Bacterial small subunit ribosomal RNA", at positions 24 to 570 of the family's 1533-position model. The record is from RNAcentral.
UCAGGACGAACGCUGGCGGCGUGCUUAAUACAUGCAAGUCGAGCGAGGUUACUGCGACAGAUCCCUUCGGGGUGAAGUUGCUUUAGCCUAGCGGCGGACGGGUGAGUAACGCGUGGGUAACCUACCCUAAAGUUCGGGAUAACAGCGGGAAACCGCUGCUAAUACCGGAUGCCUUUACCGUGUGGCAUCACAAGGUAAAGAAAGGUAACGCUUUAGGAUGGGCCCGCGUCCCAUUAGCUAGUUGGUGAGGUAACAGCUCACCAAGGCGACGAUGGGUAGCCGGCCUGAGAGGGUGGACGGCCACACUGGGACUGAGACACGGCCCAGACUCCUACGGGAGGCAGCAGUAGGGAAUUUUCGGCAAUGGGCGAAAGCCUGACCGAGCGACGCCGCGUGAGGGACGAAGGCCUUCGGGUUGUAAACCUCUGUCUGGGGGGAUGAGAAUGGACGGUACCCCCGGAGGAAGCCCCGGCUAACUACGUGCCAGCAGCCGCGGUAAUACGUAGGGGGCGAGCGUUGUCCGGAAUUACUGGGCGUAAAGGGCGC